RNAcentral lists this ribosomal RNA (434 nucleotides) under uncultured bacterium. RNAcentral's name for it is "partial 16S ribosomal RNA". It matches the Rfam family "Bacterial small subunit ribosomal RNA", at positions 29 to 507 of the family's 1533-position model. The record is from RNAcentral.
AGCGAACGCUGGCGGCAGGCCUAACACAUGCAAGUCGAACGAACCUUUCGGGGUUAGUGGCGGACGGGUGAGUAACACGUGGGAACGUGCCUUUAGGUUCGGAAUAACUCAGGGAAACUUGUGCUAAUACCGAAUGUGCCCUUCGGGGGAAAGAUCUAUCGCCUUUAGAGCGGCCCGCGUCUGAUUAGCUAGUUGGUUGAGGUAAUGGCUCACCAAGGCGACGAUCAGUAGCUGGUCUGAGAGGAUGAUCAGCCACAUUGGGACUGAGACACGGCCCAAACUCCUACGGGAGGCAGCAGUGGGGAAUCUUGCGCAAUGGGCGAAAGCCUGACGCAGCCAUGCCGCGUGAAUGAUGAAGGUCUUAGGAUUGUAAAAUUCUUUCACCGGGGACGAUAAUGACGGUCCCCGGAGAAGAAGCCCCGGCUAACUUCGUG